RNAcentral lists this non-coding RNA (72 nucleotides) under unclassified sequences. Its description in RNAcentral is "RAGATH-18 RNA". It matches the Rfam family "RAGATH-18 RNA". From Rfam's summary of the family: Actinobacteria, Firmicutes, Fusobacteria, Thermotogae (1 example). Nearby to self-cleaving ribozyme genes The record is from Rfam by way of RNAcentral.
CCUUUGGAGAAUCAUAUCAAAUCAGAGUAGUCUAUCCUUGUGAUGACAAAAUGAGGUUCUAUGAAUAAGGAA